AUUGAACGCUGGCGGCAGGCCUAACACAUGCAAGUCGAGCGGAUGAAGGGAGCUUGCUCCUGGAUUCAGCUGCGGACGGGCGAGUAAUGCAUAGGAAUCUGCCUGGUAGUGGGGGCUAACGUCCGGAAACGGGCGCUAAUACCGCAUACGUCCUGAGGGAGAAAGUGGGGGAUCUUCGGACCUCACGCUAUCAGAUGAGCCUAGGUCGGAUUAGCUAGUUGGUGGGGUAAAGGCCUACCAAGGCGACGAUCCGUAACUGGGCUGAGAGGCUGAUCAGUCACACUGGAACUGAGACACGGUCCAGACUCCUACGGGAGGCAGCAGUGGGGAAUAUUGGACAAUGGGCGAAAGCCUGAUGCAGCCAUGCCGCGUGAGUGAAGAAGGUCUUCGGAUUGUAAAGCACUUUAAGUUGGGAAGAAGAUCAGUAUGUGAAUACGUUGCUGUUUUGACGGUACCAAAAGAAUAAGCACCGGCUAACUUCGUG
RNAcentral lists this ribosomal RNA (484 nucleotides) under uncultured bacterium. RNAcentral describes it as "partial 16S ribosomal RNA". It matches the Rfam family "Bacterial small subunit ribosomal RNA", at positions 30 to 507 of the family's 1533-position model. The record is from RNAcentral.